Molecule: long non-coding RNA, 349 nt
Filed under: Monodelphis domestica (gray short-tailed opossum)
Lineage: Eukaryota; Metazoa; Chordata; Mammalia; Didelphimorphia; Didelphidae
Description: lncRNA (ENSMODG00000036950.1)
Source: RNAcentral
CAUUUGAGCAAGAUUUCCCUAUACAGCAUAGGAGAUAUGUGGUCAUCUAUCCCCUGUUUGGAGACCACCAAUUGAAGGAAGAGAAGAGAAAUCUCCUAUCUUGCUUUAAAAGAGCAUGGCAGAACCUAGUCUUCUCAUGAGAAUGAACUAACCAAGAACAAGUUGAAGCCAGAAAAAGAGAGAAUUUCACACCCUGGCUGGUAGAAACUAUUCAUCCAUCAGAGAAAACAUGCCAGAGAGGACUAGUCCAGUGAGAGCAGAAUAAUACCAUCACCUGAAGACAUCAAAGGCCCUUCAGAACUGGAUAUGUGAAUCACCUGUCUAGAAGUACAUCUUGACCACAAAUGUU